This is a non-coding RNA of Triticum aestivum (bread wheat), 47 nucleotides long. The record is from Rfam. Lineage: Eukaryota; Viridiplantae; Streptophyta; Magnoliopsida; Poales; Poaceae.
AAUUAGGUUUUUCUAAAAACCCCUGAAUUGAGACUUGAACUACAAGU